Non-coding RNA from Gasterosteus aculeatus aculeatus (three-spined stickleback), 7435 nucleotides. The record is from RefSeq and is a predicted model, not a curated record. NCBI's taxonomy places the organism in Eukaryota, Metazoa, Chordata, Actinopteri, Perciformes, Gasterosteidae.
UUGCUGAAGGUUCAGAUACUAAAUAAUGAAUUUCACCACCAAAAACACAACAACUUCUCCAAUCAUAAAAUAGCUCUCCCCUUCCAUAUUGAUUGUGCUUGUGCAACCAGAUGCAGAGAGCACAGUCUGCAUCCGUGCAAGGUGGAAGACCAUACAUGGGGAAAUUGUAUAAAAUGAUAGGGAGCCACCUGCUUUUUCUCGCUGUAGAUAUGGAUAGAGCCGGUGGUGCCUAUGGGCACACACGCUUCCUCUGCGCUUCUCUCUCCGCUUCGCUGAAGCACGAAGAGCAGAGUCUGUCUGAGGGAGGCGGAGGAGAGGAGGAAAAAAAAAUCUGAAAACUUUCCUUCACGGGACAUUCAAACGGACAGAGGGUUCGGGAAGAGGAGGGAGGGGACAGAAGAGUGGUCUUGGAAACUGCUUCAGUGCACUAAUGUCCCUGCAACCUGAGCCUUUAUUGGAUCCGAAGGGCAUUACAAGACAGGCGCGCUCCACACCCUCUGGUUUAGAGACGGGGAUUAAAGGGAUGGCUUUCAUUCAGGAAAGGAGAAGCGAAAAAAGCCUCCAAGCAGAUCCCACUCCGGCUCAGACCUUCUCCCCGCGUGCCGGUCCCCUCGUCUCUCGCUGCCGGGCCGAUGGACCAGCCCCUCCGACGGAGCGGGCGCCUGGGCAGUUCCCCCCGGCAGCCAUGCGUCUCAAUGUGAGGGAGUCUGCCACUGCAAGCUGCCUCGCGGCCUCCGACGUUUGCGGGGGGGGAAAAGAGAGGAUGUGAUCAACUUUUCCUGUUCUACAGCCGGAUCCCAGCUCCGGGGUCUCGACCCUCUGGAAAAAAAAAGAAGCACUCAAGGGUUCAAGUAACCAGCAGAUUGGACAAAGCCGGCCGAGACGCGCAUUCCUGCACUUGAGACGUUAUUUAUUUCACAGGCCCAUCCACCUCUCAUUGUAUGCAGGGAACACAGCAACCUCUCCUGGACAAACGGGAAAGUGGCAGACAAGUUGCCAUGAAGCCAGCAUAAUGGAAAUGAAUCCUGCAUUCCACGUGUCUCGGCCCCCAUCAACGCAGCUGAGAAAUGGGAACUCAUGCACAAACCUGCCCUUCAUUUUCAACAGAAAAUUGCAGCAUUAUUAAAACACGCAUAUAAUUUAGAACAUGUGAGCGUGACAAGAUGAUGUUCAUGCAGGAAAAAUUGUCAUACACUGAUAUGAGACAAUGACAGCGAUGUUAGUGCAUCAUGAAAUAAAAUCAAUAUGACAAAGUAAAGCCAAACAACCAAACAACUUAGGGUUGCACAAAUAACACACUUGAACACUGGGAUGUAAAAGAAUAAUUUUGUCUCCUCUAGAAAACAUAUGAAGAAAUGCCAGUUAUGAAAAAUGUCAUCUUUAAAAGGCAAAUCUAAAUGUCAGAGAGACGGAUACUUUACACAUAGAAAGUGCUGCCUUCUGGGUGUUAGGAAAGAAAGGCGUUAGAAUGAUAUUUUUUUUCCCAGUUGAAAUUGACUGCAAUUACCCGGCAUCAAGCACACAAAGCAGUUGUACACUCACAUAGCCUGGAGAGGAGUGGAGUCACUGUUCUCAAUAUUACUCAGGAAUUCAGAGGGGCAUAGAAUAAUGAAAGCUACGGAUGUGUUUUAAUGUAUGUUGGGAAAAUAGAGUCUUUUUGUAAUAUGCAUUUGAUUAAAUAUGAGGAACUAAGUCUCAGACACAAAGGUGAGACAAUUAGUUUAUUAUUUGACUUAAUCAACAGAAAAUAAACUACUAUUUUUAUAAUUGAUAAAUUAAUAGUUCCAUUACACGGUGUAAUAAAUUAAAAGAAAAGAAAUAUGAAUUUAUGUCAGUGUAGUGACCUGUGAACAUUCCUUUGAAUAAAAAAAAACAUGUUAACACUUUACUUUAAAGAACUUUACAUUUAAGAUGUUCCACUGAGCAUGAAGUUUGCUGUGUGUGUUUAUAUGUGGACCAUCUUUAUGUUACUACGCAUGAUAUUUUUGUGAACUUCUCAAUUUAAUUGUGCAUGGGUAAGAGAUGGGAAACCCCCAGAAAAACCGAGGUAAAGCAACGAGGAGCAUCAAGCCCCGUUAAGGUCUAAGUUUCGUGUGCUGGCAAAUGUCAGACUCAUGACAAAGCCCAGCAAGAAUAAAGCCUUCCUGGGUCCUCAGUUUGUUUUGAAGUUUGUGACAAAAUCAUCUCAGUGGGGGAUAUGAGAAGAGGUGAAAGUGGGUGGUUCAAUCCCAUUUCAAGUCCCAGGAAGGAGACAAGUGGAGAAAAUGUAGGUUCUAGGAGAGAUGAAGAUAGGACGAGAAGAGGUAAAGACGAGGGAAAGGGAGGUAAAAGUGACUUGACCCUUCUAAUCCGGUGAAGGUCAUGAGUCAGAUUAGGGAUGGCUACUCUGAACUCCAUGGCUGGAAGGCACCUUCGACCCACGGAGUAUUUAGGUAUCUCUUAAACCCAACGGAGAACCACCGGGCUCUUCUCUUAGCAUGCAAAUGAGACAGGAACAAAUGUCCCGUCACUUCUGGGUCACCAUGUGCCAAAGUGCUUAACACUCUUCCUGUCAGCCCCCCUCUCCAGCUGCUUCAAAAACCUCCUGCACCUCCCUCACGCUUAUUUCCUCCCUCUUAUGUUCUUUAAAUGAGCUUUCCAACUCCACUUCUUUCUCGCAAUUCAAUUUUACAAGGCCAUUAUCCCGGGUGUAAUGUGGAGGUUAAAUAUAUCAGGGCAGACGUUAUGUGGAAAUAAUUAGUGCUAAUGAAUAAUGCACUCAUUCAGUAGAUGACGGAUGGUUGCCAAGGUAAUGGAGUGCAAGGGAGGGGCCCCUCUGACAAUGAAAUUAAAAUAUUUAAGCACUGUUUUACGGUAUUACCGGGCCCUCACACUUUCUCCCUGUCACAAAAUCACUACAUGCUGCCGUCCGGCCUCCAUGUGACAUGAUAGCUGUGCCGUUACUCAUGCACGAGAUUUGUCUUACUAAAGAUAGAGCUCAGAUAAAAGGAGGAACAUACUUCUACCGUACGCCACGGCUCAUCCUCCCUGCCACCAAUAAUUCCUCUGAGGGCAUCACAGACGACACUCCAUAUAGACAGCCUGUCUUUCCGCCAGGUUGUAUUUCGUUCACUUUAUUUAUUGCCACUUCACACAUCCGUUCUCUUACGAUCUCAUUCGGCCCCCUUCAUGGAAUAAUGAAGGAUGUAGGUUUUAAAUUGCCCAUCUUACAGCCCCCUUCCAACCAAUUGGCCCUUCCGGAAUCGAUAAUGGUGAACCAAAGGGCUGUGUGACUGAUAGAUGGUAAAGCGUCAACACCAUUAGACACAACGGUUAGAGGACGGGGAGGAAAGUAAUGGCUUGGGACAGAAUGCUCAUGAGCUAAUAAUGCUCAGUCGUUCAUUCGCCAAACUUUCUAUACAGGUAAAUGACACCUUUUUCUCUAAAAACCAUUGACUUUCCCUGACUUUCAUUGUACAUCAGUGCUUUUGAUCUUUUGCCCAGGCGUUGGGAUAAUUAGGAUUUCUGCCACCAGUCCAAUGCAAUAGAAGUCAAUGGUGUUUUAAUUGUCCUUCUCACAGCGCUAAAGAUUGUCUUUGAACAAGACUAAAAGUCUUGAGACACACUUGCUCUGUGGGCCUGUAGCUUGAGCUCAAUGCUAAUGCUAACUCACGUGCUCCCCGACGCUAAAGCAAGAUCUAACUGUUGCAGGUAUUGAUGAAGCUCUUAAGGAUCACCAAACAUGUGACUAUUGAUCUUGGGAAAAAUAUGGAUCAAACGUGAUGGUGAUCCGCCCAAUGGUUGCUAUUGAUAUUAAAGUAUGGGCCCAAGUGGUGGACCAGCCAACAGGCCAACAUGCCCUUACUUCUAGCAUGGAUGUAAACUGUGUAUUAUUCAAAGUAUCUUUGUAAUGAAAUUACAUUUUUCCAACGUCACAGGUGAAGGAAGCAGGGAGAAAGCUCAAUACCUGUGCAACAGAAACCCAAAUGAUAAACACUGGUAGAUUCCCCUAAAAAAUGUUUUUGUUAACUGGCGCUUAAAAAGAAAUUAACCGUGAGAAAAAGGACAGCGUGGUCAAUAUGAUCCUGUUGAAUCUAAAAGGGAGAAGUAACAAUUCUUAAUGACAAAAUGGCAACUUCCAUUGCAGAUUGUUAUAAAUCGUGCUGGUCUUUAAAUCAGGGCCGGGUGUUCAAUGGACAAUGGGUAGCUGUGAUGAAAAAAAGGGCUGUAAAUAUGCAGAAUAGUGUGCUGCUCUCUCCCUGGGGCUAAGCCAACGCACCAUAGCAAGCCACAUCUGACAACUUUCCUUUAUUAAUAUCAUAUUUUUUAGAUGUUUCUGGCCCCAUACACAUUUGACUUGUAAAACAGACCUAAUUACAAAGGCUGUAGCAUGCAAGCCUCACAUCAAACAGUAAGUUAGAGUAAAAGCCUGUGAUCUGUCUUUUUUUCUCCCUUUUCUCCCUCCGCACACCAGAAACACUGAUUAUAACAAGAACAUUAAAAGGGAAUUACAGCGAAAACAAUUUACACUUAAUGUAGCAGUCAUAUGAACAGGCAAGAAGGAUGGACAAAGAUAUAGCAGCAUUAAUAAUACAUGAUUUAAUUUAGCAGCUGGGAAUGCAUGUAGCGGAAUCAAGGCGGAGGGAAAGACGGACAAUGAAGAAAAAGUGUCAGAGAAGGACAAAGUAGUGAGAGAAAAAAAGCAGAAGGAGAAGAAGUCAGAUGAGAGCUCCAAUGAGAGAGAAAGUUUAUAACAGAGUCGAGGUUAAAGGUUGCAGAGGAGGUGAGAUCAAAAUAUGUUGCUAUGGAUUUUCUACGCACAGUGAUUAAUUGGCAGUAAAUAUGCAAAGCCUGAUAGCCAUGAGGCAAUCAGAGGAGCGCCACUCGCCUACAUGUUGCACAGUGGGCCAUAAUCCAUCGGAGGGGCGAGGAAUAAUGACAGCAGCAAGCUAGAAUAAGAGCAGGAUCUGUUCAUUACCUCAGACGGAUGCAUAAUGCAUGAAAGGUACGCGCCAGCCCGUGGCCACAGAACCUGGAAAGUACAGAUAGUAAUAUUGUUUUUAGUGUAAUGAAAGACAAUGAGAUUUAAGCAUCUAUUCAGGCUUAUAAGUCUGCUGUCAGAUAAAGUUUAAAGGUAGGUGCAAAAGCCAUAACUGACCUGAGAGUGACACGAGUCCUUAAAGGCAACAGAAAGGUCAACACAUGCAUAUUGCGAUAUAUGUAUUAUAAUGUAUUUUUGCAUAGUGUAAAGUGAAUCAUAAUGUUAAAAUUUGGUCUCAAUAUACACAUGAAAACCACUGACUAACAUUACCUAUAAACCUGUAUAGAUAAAACCUGCCACUGGCUAUACAACUGUAAUUCCACUUCUUGGUGCAAUGUUGUUAUUUUCCGAGGCACACAUAAACAUAUGAACACUAAUAAACACAAAUACCUGGCUUUCUUUCUCCUCCAUGAGGACAUUAACACCAGGAUCUUUGUAGUGCUAGAGUAAGUAUAAAUUGUGUUGAACAUUGAUAAACUAAUGCAAUUACCUGCAGGGCAAGCAAGUCAGCUAAUUUAAAGAUACCAGGUUUGUUCAUGUGGUGGGAGACUCCCAAUAGGCCCCAAGGGUGAAGGAUGGCACCUUUAUUACAUCUGAGAGGUCAGCCUGGUAGCACUGUAUUAGGAUUGAUCUUUUGAUCCCCUGCCUGGAACCCCCCCAUACUGUACCAACCCCAUCUGGCUGUGAAAAAACAGCUUAUCUGGCGCAAAGGGUUAACCCUGCUAGCCAGGCAGCCUAAUUGAGCACCACACAUCUCAGCUACACAGCAGAAACAGGAACCUAGAGGGUCGUAACAAGCCGGCCAUGACUUAUUCACAUAAUAAACCAAGCAGAUAUCUAAAUGAGCCAUUGAGCUAGCCAGAGGGAGGGGGCCCAUUAGACCUUGUGGACUACGGGUACAUAUUUGUAUAUCUACAAUUGCCCCAUCAUUUGCAUAUGCGGCUCACAAUAGAAAUGUUAGUCUGUGUUUGUGCCCAGGGGCCUAAUGACACAACAGAACAACUUUGCACUCAUUCAUGGUGGCAUAAACAAGUCAGAGCCGUAUUCCUUUAAUCCAAAACACAAAAAAGCUUAUAUUGCGGGUUAUAUUGAAAAGCAAGCAGGCUGACAUUUAUUCACUUGAGGGAAAACCUUUUAGAUACAGUACGAUCAGUAAAUGUGAGCAAAAUAGUUUAACAUUUUGGGAAAUAUACUUUAUUUCUUGCAAUAGUGUUGGGUCUGACCUAUUCACCAAACUACAUUUUCUUUUAGUUCUUCUAAUGAUGCAGAUUGUGCUGUAGAAUGCCAAAUGCUUUUGGGCGUAACAAAGCUCUGCUAUUGCCCUGGGAAUGAUGACAUUUUGACCUAUUAAUACAUAAUAAAUGCAUAGAAAUAAAGAAAAAAAAAUAUAUGUAUAUAUUGUUAAAAAAUACAUAAUGGAUAAAGGUGCAUGUUGUAAAUACAUAUGUUCUUAUAUUGACACACAAAUGUAUCAAUAAAUAUCCAAAAUUAAAGGGACAAUAUAAAAACCCUGAGCUGUGCAAAACCAGAAUAUAAACCAACAGAAGCUUGGUAUUAUAGGAUGCUUUGGAUGCUGGAAAUUCCCUUGCAGGGAAAAAAAUAGAAUCACUCAUCCAGCUAUUGUGCGCCUGUAUUUGUAUGUUGCAAAAAACAUAACACAAGGUUGUCACUAAUCAAAACAGUCUUGUGGCAAUUGGUCACAGGUCAGCCUUUAAUGUGACCUCUGACCCAUAACUAAAUUGCCAUCUUUAACCUCUGUUACAACCUGUCACAGAGCAUUGGAUUACAUGCUGCAAAUCACCACCAAUCAAUGCCGGGGGAAGAGCCGGCUGUGUCCAGCAGGGUGUGCAGAUUAUCUUUAGUGGAGUUGAACUGUACGGGGAUCAAGUUAGUGUAAAUCCUGAUUAGAUUCUGAAUGGUUUCCUGCUAUUGCUCGACACACUCAACUAAAAAGAGUAAAGGAGACUGCAGAUAAGAGUCACAUGCCUCGUUCCACUUUAGCAAUUAGUUGUGUGAAUGUAAAUAUAAUUGUUGCAAGGACACCUUUGAUGAUGAUGGCCAUACAAAUAAAUGCAUACAGUAAGCGCUCUGAACUCGUCGUCUUCUUCAACUGUAUGUCCACUGACAUUACGACAGCAGAAGGUUAAAACAUCUCCUGUUGCAGACUAAAACUAUUCUAACUGCACCCUGGCUAAUUUAUUUUUAAAAAUGUAGUGAAUGAUGAAUUUAGUGUAUUGAAUGAUUUAUCUUGGGGUUUUAUAUAUAUUAAUGGAAGUAAUCUUGGAUAUGAAUGUCAGCUGUUAAUUUAAUGUUAUAGUACUUGAUUUCUUAAAAAUAUGCUUGAGAGAUUUUGGGUUAUGGUUGGGUUACAUCACAAAUUCUGCCCAACAAUUCCAAUAAAUACAUUGUCCUGUC